RNAcentral lists this ribosomal RNA (468 nucleotides) under uncultured bacterium. Its description in RNAcentral is "bacterial SSU rRNA". It matches the Rfam family "Bacterial small subunit ribosomal RNA", at positions 335 to 799 of the family's 1533-position model. The record is from RNAcentral.
ACUCCUACGGGAGGCAGCAGUAGGGAAUUUUCCGCAAUGGACGAAAGUCUGACGGAGCAAUGCCGCGUGAGUGAUGAAGGUUUUCGAAUCGUAAAGCUCUGUUGUAAGGGAAGAAUAGCAAGAAUAGGAAAUGAUUCUUGUCUGACGGUACCUUACCAGAAAGCCACGGCUAACUACGUGCCAGCAGCCGCGGUAAUACGUAGGUGGCAAGCGUUAUCCGGAAUUAUUGGGCGUAAAGCGCAUGUAGGCGGCUUUUUAAGUCUGGUGUGAAAUCCCGGGGCUCACCCCGCAGUAGCUGAUACUGGAAAGCUAGAGUACCGGAGAGGAGGGUGGAAUUCCUGGUGUAGCGGUGAAAUGCGUAGAUAUCAGGAGGAACACCGGUGGCGAAGGCGGCCCUCUGGACGGAUACUGACGCUGAGACGCGAAAGCGUGGGGAGCAAACAGGAUUAGAUACCCUGGUAGGCUCUG